Molecule: ribosomal RNA, 487 nt
Filed under: denitrifying bacterium W85a
Lineage: Bacteria; Pseudomonadati; Pseudomonadota; Betaproteobacteria
Description: bacterial SSU rRNA
Rfam family: Bacterial small subunit ribosomal RNA
Source: RNAcentral
UUUGAUCCUGGCUCAGAUUGAACGCUGGCGGCAUGCCUUACACAUGCAAGUCGAACGGCAGCACGGGAGCAAUCCUGGUGGCGAGUGGCGAACGGGUGAGUAAUACAUCGGAACGUGCCCAAUCGUGGGGGAUAACGCAGCGAAAGCUGUGCUAAUACCGCAUAAGAUCUGCGGAUGAAAGCAGGGGAUCGCAAGACCUUGCGCGAAUGGAGCGGCCGAUGGCAGAUUAGGUAGUUGGUGAGGUAAAGGCUCACCAAGCCUUCGAUCUGUAGCUGGUCUGAGAGGACGACCAGCCACACUGGGACUGAGACACGGCCCAGACUCCUACGGGAGGCAGCAGUGGGGAAUUUUGGACAAUGGGCGCAAGCCUGAUCCAGCCAUGCCGCGUGCAGGAUGAAGGCCUUCGGGUUGUAAACUGCUUUUGUACGGAACGAAACGGCCUUUUCUAAUAAAGAGGGCUAAUGACGGUACCGUAAGAAUAAGCACC